UGUGGGUGUAAUGUUUUAUAGUAAUAGAAGACAAAAGUAGUAAGUUAUAGAUAAAGUGAAACUAUAAUUGAAAGUAUUAGGCACCUUGAAAAGUAGUAAAUAGAAAAGAAAAGGAAGGCAUGAGCAUGACUUGUUCAAAGCAAGUACUAUCUAGAUUCCUUUUGGGUACCCCAAUUAAUGCUUGAAUUUCAAGAUCAUAAAAGCAACCGUGUUCGGUGUUGUUGAUUGUACCCUGAGGCCUCGAACACGAAGCACAGACCCAUUCAAAUCCAAAAAGAACACAGCGUUGAGCUUGUGCCUUAAAUUUUUAGCUCAAUGCCUUAAGCUAACCACUUACUUCUACCUUUGGAAUGAGUCUUCUCUUCUCAAUAAGUUGUAAAUAAUUUCAGUAAGAUAAAAAAUCUGGAUACGCGCACCAUCCCACUCGGUUCACGCGGUCCAAACACAUCUUAUUUAUACCAACGUCGGCACUGCUCACCCUUCACUUACUUUCCAUUUCAAUCUUCAUUUUCCGAUCACCGUUUUUUGGAACAUAUGGCUGCAUCACCACCCAGAUUGAUCCCUGAAAGGGGUCAAGUUCUGAAGAGGAUCCUAAAAAUGGUGGUUGCUUGUUUCAUGUGUGCUCCUGAGUCUUCUUCCGAUUCUCAUAAUCACAAAACCUCUUCUUCUUCAGUCUUUCCGGCGUCACCUCCUUCCCGUCUCUGAACUCAUUCCUCGCUUUUCGUGUUAACCUUUGACAACUUGUCAAAAAUGGAUUCUGGGUCUGUUGGGUUCUGUUGGUUUAUUCAAGAACAUUGCUCUUCACCUCCUUAACGUUAAUUUUGUGUGCGUCUUAUGUUGUAACGUUGUAGCGACAACUCAAUUUUGUUUAGUUUCAUGUAGAUUCAGCCCCUCCCCGCUUUGAUCCCGGGCCUGCAAAAUUUGAAGAAAAAAAUUUACUUUUGAAUGUGAAAGUCUUUCUUAUCGGUCGGAAAUGCUGAUUUGAUCCGAAGAUUUUAAAUGUACUUUAUAUUUGUGUUAUGGGAGUAUUCGAGAUCGCGUCUCGACAUCUCCACAACAGCUCCCAACACAGCAUAAUUAUAAAUAUAACUUAAUUACGUAAUUAAUAAACACAACAUGAUAAUUAUUCAUAAAUCAUGAUUAAGACAAC
This 1150-nucleotide long non-coding RNA is filed under the name Phaseolus vulgaris (common bean). RNAcentral describes it as "long non-coding RNA (PVUL_LNC004584)". Lineage: Eukaryota; Viridiplantae; Streptophyta; Magnoliopsida; Fabales; Fabaceae. The record is from RNAcentral.